RNAcentral lists this ribosomal RNA (60 nucleotides) under Varicosporium elodeae. RNAcentral's name for it is "partial 28S ribosomal RNA". The record is from RNAcentral. Lineage: Eukaryota; Fungi; Ascomycota; Leotiomycetes; Helotiales; Discinellaceae.
GACCUCCGGAGUGCAGGGUUGGGAUACCCGCUGAACUUAAGCAUAUCAAUAAGCCGGAGG